Molecule: ribosomal RNA, 429 nt
Filed under: Chloroflexota bacterium
Lineage: Bacteria; Bacillati; Chloroflexota
Description: Chloroflexi bacterium partial 16S ribosomal RNA
Rfam family: Bacterial small subunit ribosomal RNA
Source: RNAcentral
UGGGGAAUAUUGCACAAUGGGCGCAAGCCUGAUGCAGCUAUGCCGCGUGUGUGAAGAAGGCCUUCGGGUUGUAAAGCACUUUCAGCGGGGAGGAAGGCGAUAAGGUUAAUAACCUCAUCGAUUGACGUUACCCGCAGAAGAAGCACCGGCUAACUCCGUGCCAGCAGCCGCGGUAAUACGGAGGGUGCAAGCGUUAAUCGGAAUUACUGGGCGUAAAGCGCACGCAGGCGGUCUGUCAAGUCGGAUGUGAAAUCCCCGGGCUCAACCUGGGAACUGCAUUCGAAACUGGCAGGCUAGAGUCUUGUAGAGGGGGGUAGAAUUCCAGGUGUAGCGGUGAAAUGCGUAGAGAUCUGGAGGAAUACCGGUGGCGAAGGCGGCCCCCUGGACAAAGACUGACGCUCAGGUGCGAAAGCGUGGGGAGCAAACAGG